AAACAAUCUGUUUAUGACUCUCACAGUCUGUGUAUUUUGCUACUGUAGGAAAACAUCCCACACAAAGAAAAGUUGUUCAUAUUUGAACAUUGACUAUGACCAAGUUUGUCCACAGGUACUUCAGGAUUCAUUGUGUGGCCACAUGCCAUUAUUCCAGUAGGGCAAAGAGAUCAUUUGAAGCCCCCAACGC
RNAcentral lists this long non-coding RNA (190 nucleotides) under Cricetulus griseus (Chinese hamster). Its description in RNAcentral is "lncRNA (ENSCGRG00000024991.1)". The record is from RNAcentral. Lineage: Eukaryota; Metazoa; Chordata; Mammalia; Rodentia; Cricetidae.